Marmota flaviventris (yellow-bellied marmot) is the source of this 135-nucleotide small nucleolar RNA. RefSeq annotates it as small nucleolar RNA SNORA70. NCBI's taxonomy places the organism in Eukaryota, Metazoa, Chordata, Mammalia, Rodentia, Sciuridae. The record is from RefSeq and is a predicted model, not a curated record.
GUGCACUCAACCCAAGCCAGGUGGUAUCUGCCUUUAAAAUAUGUUGACUUACAAUGGCUGUGAAUAGCACCCUCCUCAGUAGAGUACACAGUCUGCUGUUUAUACAGGUUGCCCUUUCGGACACUGAUGAUAGCC